RNAcentral lists this ribosomal RNA (748 nucleotides) under Oerskovia paurometabola. Its description in RNAcentral is "bacterial SSU rRNA". Lineage: Bacteria; Bacillati; Actinomycetota; Actinomycetes; Micrococcales; Cellulomonadaceae. The record is from RNAcentral.
GCUUGCURGGCGGAUCAGUGGCGAACGGGUGAGUAACACGUGAGUAACCUGCCCCAGACUCCGGGAUAAGCCUUGGAAACGAGGUCUAAUACUGGAUACGAGACGCCCCUGCAUGGGGAGUGUCUGGAAAGAUUUAUCGGUCUGGGAUGGACUCGCGGCCUAUCAGCUUGUUGGUGGGGUAAUGGCCUACCAAGGCGACGACGGGUAGCCGGCCUGAGAGGGCGACCGGCCACACUGGGACUGAGACACGGCCCAGACUCCUACGGGAGGCAGCAGUGGGGAAUAUUGCACAAUGGGCGAAAGCCUGAUGCAGCGACGCCGCGUGAGGGAUGAAGGCCUUCGGGUUGUAAACCUCUUUCAGCAGGGAAGAAGCGCAAGUGACGGUACCUGCAGAAGAAGCGCCGGCUAAYUACGUGCCAGCAGCCGCGGUAAUACGUAGGGCGCAAGCGUUGUCCGGAAUUAUUGGGGCGUAAAGAGCUCGUAGRSGGUUUGUCGCGUCUGGUGUGAAAAACUCAAGGCUCAACCUUGAGCUUGCAUCGGGUACGGGCAGACUAGAGUGCGGUAGGGGUGACUGGRAAUUCCUGGUGUAGCGGUGGGAAUGCGCAGAUAUCAGGAGGAACACCGAUGGCGAAGGCAGGUCACUGGGCCGCAACUGACGCUGAGGAGCGAAAGCAUGGGGAGCGAACAGGAUUAGAUACCCUGGGUAGUCCAUGCCGUAAACGUGGGGCACUAGGUGUGGGCUCAUUCC